This 1648-nucleotide unclassified non-coding RNA is filed under the name Hevea brasiliensis (rubber tree). Lineage: Eukaryota; Viridiplantae; Streptophyta; Magnoliopsida; Malpighiales; Euphorbiaceae. The record is from RNAcentral.
AAAAAACUCGCAUAAAUUUGGAAGCUAAAUUGACCUUUUAAGGCCACAUUGACAUUAUUAAUAUUUUACAAUAAAGUGUCACAAAGCUCACAAAACUUAUUAUUUUAAGGGAACAAGCUCACUUAAGUUCGAUUCAUAAUGAAAUUAAGAUGCAAAUUUAUUUUAUAGUAUUUAUUAUGCAUAUUGUGUUUAAUUCCAUGAAUUGUUGGCAAGAAUUUGCCUCAUUUGAGUUGACGGAGCUUUCGUUCCUCUGAAAGCAGCUUUGCAAAUUUAGCUAUAGCUGCUUCAUUAGUAGGGGCCCCUGGAAUGCUUUCAAGCCUGCCAGUAUCCAAAUUAAUCCUUGACUCCUGCUUCUCCAGGAGCUCAGUUCCAAUUUCCACAAGCCUUUGCAAAUUCUCCUCGGUUGCUAUAUGACCUGAUGAUUCUUCACCCGUCAGCGUAUCAUCCUGAAUGCGCAGGUAAUAAUCCUCACAAUCCAAGGACUUAAAAAGGGCAGAGAGAUGGAAGUCAACCAUAUCUGAGCUAGCAUUACUAAAUAUGUCAACCGCUGGUGAAUUGCCGUUGUAAAGGGCCCAAUUAUACAAACGCCAUUUAGAUGUCAUGUCUGCAUUGUAUUUUUCUUUGUACUCGGAUUUGCCAGUUCCCAGUGAUAGCACUAGCCUGCUCUUGCUCUCCGUCAAGUUUGCACCAAUGAACCGAGGAUUUUGCCUAAUGAUCUCGUUGCGGAUGUGGGUUAGUGCUAGUAGUGUAGGAUUGGUCGCAGCAACCCCACCAUCAAUGAGUUCAAAAGUGUGAAUAUUUUUAUCAUCCUCGGUGGUAAAGGAAUGUGCUGGUAAGAGAACUGGAGCUGCAGAGGUGCUGAUGCAGACAUCAGCUAGCCUAGCAUUUUUCAGAGCAUUACAUUUCGCAUCAUCAGAUGAGAAGAUGACUGGGAGAAGAAGCUUGAUGUCAAAUGUAGGUAUAAUCACAUCUGUCAAGGUAUCUUUUACGGUCAAGUCCUUGAGCAAAUUGUUACACAAUUCUCGCAGAUAUUCUCCAUCAUAAAUGGGUCCUAUUGAAUGGAUAGGAUCGUACGUAUCUCGACUGUUUAAUCCAUAGAAGAAUCGAAAAACCAUUAAUUUAUUCAUUCGAAGUAAUGCAAAAAAGAAGAAAGAAGUUAAUUAGUAAUUAAAAACUUGGAAAAAUUUCACCUUUCCUUUGGGAAAAUCUUGGGGCAGUUUUCCAAAUAAAAGUCCUUUAUGUCUUUUGCUUGGUACAUAGGUUUUUUAUCCUCGUUUGGAGCUGUAAGCAUGGUGGUUAUCAGCCCACCGGUACUUGUCCCUGCAAUUAUAUCAAAAUAAUCUGCAAUUCUUGCAUCUGGUCCAUCCAGAUCCUGAAGCUUGGAUUCAAGGGAAGCAAGAAUGAUACCAGGAAUGAUCCCUCUAAUCCCACCUCCAUCAAUGCUUAACACUGUUAUCUUCUUUCCUUGCGUCAAAGUAGUACUACCAGUAGCCAUGUUGCUGUCAAGAGAACUUAAUUCUCUGUCCUCGUAUAGCAAAUUAAUUAAUACCAAUUGUGAAUGUGAAUGUAGUUGUGCAUGAAGCUUUGGUAUAUAUAGUAUGGUCGAUGCAUGAACAGUAACAUCAUGGAUGUCCAACAUAGACUUAAG